CAGGAAAAGCCUCUGAUGGGACUAUGUAAUUUCUACCUUUGGCAGAAUCAGCUAUGAUCAGAAGAUUUAUGCAUCUGGAAAUGUUCCCAAAACAUGGGACUCCAAGAUAAUGUUGACAAGAAGACAUGAUAAUUGAACUCAUUUUGCCAACUUUAACUGAAAUAUUGCUGAGGUUCCAUCAAGAUCAUAUGUUUACUAAAGAGAUCAGAUCUUCAUGUGGUUCCUGAUAUCAGCCCCAUGAAAAGGAUCAAAACCGGAAGGCCACAUUGAACAGAAGAUGGCAAUGGAAAGUUACACCCAUAUGAGGACUCUCAGGAGACUUGCUUGGAUCUGUAUUUCAUGAGGCAACUAUACAGAUUUGAGUGAAAGUUUAAGAAUUUGUGACAUAUAUGUACAACUUUCUAAGUAUAUAUUCAAGUAUCUCUUAAGGUGAGUGCAAUUUCAUACCAGCUUAAAUGCAGAUAAAAGUAAUAGCUUUACU
RNAcentral lists this long non-coding RNA (481 nucleotides) under Chinchilla lanigera (long-tailed chinchilla). Its description in RNAcentral is "lncRNA (ENSCLAG00000022923.1)". The record is from RNAcentral. Lineage: Eukaryota; Metazoa; Chordata; Mammalia; Rodentia; Chinchillidae.